CCCGUCUUAGCGUAGUCUGGUUAACGCGGCCGCCUGUAGAGCGGCAGACCCCCGGUUCAAAUCCGGGAGACGGGA
This 75-nucleotide transfer RNA is filed under the name Candidatus Altarchaeales archaeon. Its description in RNAcentral is "tRNA-Tyr". It matches the Rfam family "tRNA". From Rfam's summary of the family: Transfer RNA (tRNA) molecules are approximately 80 nucleotides in length. Lineage: Archaea; Nanobdellati; Candidatus Altarchaeota; Candidatus Altarchaeia; Candidatus Altarchaeales. The record is from RNAcentral.